CGGGAGCGCGCAGAGGACGAGAUUUCGGUCGAGUCGCACGCGCUUUAGUGGCGGACGGGUGAGUAACGCGUGGAUAACCUGCCUUACACAGGGGGAUAACGCUUAGAAAUAGGCGCUAAUACCGCAUAAGCGCACAGCCUCGCAUGAGGGAGUGUGAAAAGCCUCGGCGGUGUAAGAUGGAUCCGCGUCUGAUUAGCCAGUUGGCGGGGUGACGGCCCACCAAAGCGACGAUCAGUAGCCGGCCUGAGAGGGUGGACGGCCACAUUGGGACUGAGACACGGCCCAGACUCCUACGGGAGGCAGCAGUGGGGGAUAUUGCACAAUGGGGGGAACCCUGAUGCAGCGACGCCGCGUGAGUGAAGAAGCGCCUCGGCGCGUAAAGCUCUGUCAGCAGGGAAGAAGGUGACGGUACCUGACCAAGAAGCCCCGGCUAACUACGUGCCAGCAGCCGCGGUAAUACGUAGGGGGCAAGCGUUAUCCGGAUUUACUGGGUGUAAAGGGGGCGCAGACGGCGCGGCAAGUCCGGAGUGAAAUCCCAGGGCCCAACCCUGGGGCUGCUCUGGAAACUGCCGGGCUGGAGUGCUGGAGGGGCAGGCGGAAUUCCUAGUGUAGCGGUGAAAUGCGUAGAUAUUAGGAGGAACACCGGUGGCGAAGGCGGCCUGCUGGACAGCGACUGACGUUGAGGCCCGAAAGCGUGGGGAGCAAACAGGAUUGGAUACCCUGGUAGUCCACGCCGUANACGAUGACUACUA
RNAcentral lists this ribosomal RNA (752 nucleotides) under uncultured bacterium. RNAcentral's name for it is "bacterial SSU rRNA". It matches the Rfam family "Bacterial small subunit ribosomal RNA", at positions 63 to 818 of the family's 1533-position model. The record is from RNAcentral.